GUUUGAUCCUGGCUCAGGACGAACGCUGGCGGCGUGCCUAACACAUGCAAGUCGAACGAGAUUUACUGCUUCACCAAUACCUUAAACUUUUCGCCCCAAGCACGAAUGUGCUUUACGCGAAAAAAGCUUGUCAACACAAGUUAUGAGAGAUUGGUGAAGUGGUAAAUCUAGUGGCGGACGGGUGAGUAAUGCAUGAACAAUCUGCCCUAUACAGAGGAAUAGCCUCGGGAAACCGGGAUUAAAACCACAGAACACUUUGGUGUCGCAUGACACAGAAGCCAAAUUGAAUAAGAGGUAUAGGAUGAGUUCAUGUCUGAUUAGCUAGUUGGUAAGGUAACGGCUUACCAAGGCGACGAUCAGUAGCCGGCCUGAGAGGGUGAACGGCCACACUGGAACUGAGACACGGUCCAGACUCCUACGGGAGGCAGCAGUGGGGAAUAUUGCACAGUGGAGGGAACUCUGAUGCAGCGACGCCGCGUGAGUGAAGAAGGUCUUCGGAUCGUAAAACUCUGUCCUUGGUGAAGAAGAAAAUGACGGUAGCCAAGGAGGAAGCCCCGGCUAACUACGUGCCAGCAGCCCGCGGUAAUACGUAGGGGGCGAGCGUUGUCCGGGAUUUACUGGGCGUAAAGGGUGAGUAGGCGGUUAUGUAUGUCAGGUGUAAAAGGCGUAGGCUUAACUUACGUUAGCACUUGAAACUGCAUAACUUGAGUGCAGGAGAGGUAAGUGGAAUUCCUAGUGUAGCGGUGAAAUGCGCAGAUAUUAGGAGGAACACCAGUGGCGAAGCGACUUACUGGACUGUAACUGACGCUGAGUCACGAAAGCGUGGGUAGCAAACAGGAUUAGAUACCCUGGUAGUCCACGCUGUAAACGAUGAGUGCUAGGUGUUGGGUAGCGAUAUUCAGUGCCGAAGUAAACACAAUAAGCACUCCGCCUGGGGAGUACGGUCGCAAGACCGAAACUCAAAGGAAUUGACGGGGACCCGCACAAGCAGCGGAGCAUGGUGGUUUAAUUCGAAGCAACGCGAAGAACCUUACCAAGGUUUGACAUCCCCUUGACAGAUGCAGAGAUGUGUCCUCCCCUUCUGGGGCAAGGGAGACAGGUGGUGCAUGGUUGUCGUCAGCUCGUGUCGUGAGAUGUUGGGUUAAGUCCCGCAACGAGCGCAACCCUUAUCUUUAGUUGCCAGCAUUUAAGGUGGGCACUCUAAAGAGACUGCCGAUGAUAAAUCGGAGGAAGGUGGGGAUGACGUCAAAUCAUCAUGCCCCUUAUAUCUUGGGCUACACACGUGCUACAAUGGUCGGUACAACGGGGAGCGAAGGAGUGAUCUGGAGCAAAUCCCAAUAAACCGAUCCCAGUUCGGAUUGUAGGCUGCAACUCGCCUACAUGAAGUCGGAGUU
Molecule: ribosomal RNA, 1394 nt
Filed under: uncultured Sedimentibacter sp.
Lineage: Bacteria; Bacillati; Bacillota; Tissierellia
Description: bacterial SSU rRNA
Rfam family: Bacterial small subunit ribosomal RNA
Source: RNAcentral